GUCCAUAUAGGUCAGUGGCGUGUUCAGCCCAGACAUUCAUAUCUUCAGUGGUUCGUGUCGUCUUUGCCUGGGACAUAUAAAGGUUCUCGAAGUUGGAAAAGAGAUAAUCGAUCUGCAGGGUGGAUACGUGAACUUCGGGCCGAAAUGCGACGAGAAACAUGAAGAAUGUACCCACAAGAUGAGUAAACACUAUAUUCAUGCAAUACGAUUUAUUUUUUUUAGUAAUAGGCAGUGAAAGUUUUUUAUAUUUUCCGUGGUGGUGUGUAGGAUGAAAUAUCAUAUAUUACUGAUAUUACGGGUUGUAUAUAUAUAUAUAUCGUUUAUUGCCGUUACUGAUUGCACUGAUUAUAACUCCUUGAUACUGAUCCCCCCUUUUUCACUGACCUUCAAGCCACAAUAGCGUGCAGGGACCGUACUGGGGUCCUAUUAAUAUACUUCCUUCCUUUCUUUAUAAACGUCGUAGUACGAUGUGCUAUAUAUACUUCUUUAGCUCUUUGUGUACAGUAUCACAGUUUUAAGUUCUUGAGAUAUUUACUAACACUCUUGAUGUUGUCGCAUCAUCUGUUCAGCCGGUAUAAUUAGGGUUGACACCACAGGCUCCGCAGCUGGGUUUUUCACUAUUCUGAUUUAGGGUGCGGAUGGAAGCUGAAUUAAUGUGGUGAUAAUAAUUUGGGGGGGGGGGGGGUAUAUAUACUACCCGACAAUCGAAGGUGGCCCAAUGAUACCAGCAUAAGUUACCCCUGAGAUUUUAUAAAAGGCGAUGUAGAUAUGAGUUGGGAGGUGGGAGGCUGUAGUGUCAAGCAAUAAAUCGCAAAAUAUGGAAAUAAAUGAUUAAACUUAACAAACAAUAGUGAGACAUCGAGACGGACGGAAAUAAUUAAUGAAUGAGAUGAAAUGAGGGAAAACUAGAAUCGAAUGAAAGUGAUUAAUAAAGUAUAUACGAUAUAAUUACUACGCAUGCGUUUACAUACCUUUAAAUAUUAUAAGCAACAAUUGUAUAUAUAUAUAAUAAAAUGUAAAUGUAGUGAAUAUGAGCUAUUAUGUACGCAGUAUAAAUAUGAAUAUAACAGCAAAAUGAAAAAAAAAAUGAUUAGCAAACAAUUAUACAUCAUUACAGAAGAAAAUAAAAGUGCUAUAUAUUAUAGGUAUUCUGAGUGUACGUACGGAAUAUGCGGUGUGCCUUGGUAUAGCCGCUUCGGUUUUGGCAUCUGUCAUAUAUAUUCUGGUAUCAUAUGUGGUGAAGUGCGUUUUCUACUGGCGUCUCCUUGUCGUUUGUUCGUUGACGUAUUUGACAACUUGUGUUUUAAAAUAGGGAACAAACGCCAGAUAACCUUAAUAGUCACUACCGUUCCCCAAAAAUUGGCGCCAGAGUAUGCUUUCCCGUCUGAAAAUACUUGAGCGAUGCGUUCAUUAUUUUUCUCAUCAGUGUAUUUAACCAACGGUUGGUUUAGUUGCGAACAGACUAUCGUAGUGUAAAUGUGGAACAAGCCUUAUGUUCAUUUUUUCACAUGCUAUCUCUAGCAGAAGAUCGCCGCUUGUAAUCGCUGCCCUGUUUCCUCGUAAUAUUGCCUGAAGAACUGCGCCGGGGUAUUGUCUUGCUAGGGUUCGAUAAUUGUUUGCCAAAGAAUUUUUUAAUUGGCACUCUAAAUAUUGCAAAUCUACAGUUAAUAUUGCAAAUCUACAGUUAAUUUAUUGAAUACGUCUGCCACUGCGUCCGCGUUUCGUUCGGCUUAAUUAGCAAGGGAGACGUCAUCAGUCGGGUUGGAAAACAUAGCGUUUAAGGAUGUUAAUUGUAAUUUUGUGUGGUCGAUAGCGUGCAGUUCUUUGCAGCAAAGAGUAUUCCUGCGUUGGAGCAAUACAUUCUUUCGCAGUUGAAACAUCUUUGUGUGAAGUCACCAAAUGUCGACCACGAGUGCAGAUUUAUUCCGAGUGAGGCGAUUUCAAUUUCAUACACCUUUUUAUUUGAGUUGAUAUGAAAAGUUAUUGGUGCUGUGGUAAAUUUUGUCUUUGAACAAUCUAUUAGUGGAGAGGUUUCCCAUACUAUAGUCUGAGUACCAAUAGUGCAAGAUCCACGUUCAACGUCGCAUGUAUCCAAGGCGGGAACGGGUCCGGAUAGUUUGUCAUUGGCAUGGUCAAAAUAUAAGCUAAUUCGGGUAAGUAAAGCAUUAGAAACUUUUUCUGUACUGGAUGUGGGCCAUGUAUAAACGGGUUUUCUUCAUUGGAUGUCGUCCAAAGGUUCUUGCUCUGUUUUGUGAAUUUUUUCAUCCGACUAUCCUGUUUUGUGGUUUUCCAAUUGUAGCAAAGUAAAUUACUGGGUGGUGAAUUUGGUUUCUAUAUUAUGAACUUUGGCUUCGAAGAAAUAACUUGUGGUCUGCCAGAUUGUGGUUGAUUCCUGACAAACGUAUGCAGUAAUUCUUGUUCUAGCCUAGUUGUUGUAUUUCAGCAUUACAUUGCGAUACUGUUGUCCGAGGAUGUUUUAUGCACGGUUUAGUUGGUUCUAUUGCGUAUUCUUUAAUAGGUUUGUCUGGGUAGCAAAGAUGCAUUUCUAUAGUCUCUGUGUUGAUGUAUUUAAUAGAUGUCAAGAAGAUGAACAAAGUCAUAAUGAAACAUCUAAUAGAAAACGAAGUCGCCGUAUCUGUUAAUUGAGGCUAAUUUCUGCUCCAGAAUCAACUAAUAAAUGUUUUUGCAAUGAUUUAUCGUAUACAAAGAAUUGGCCUCGGGUUGAUGUUAAGCCGGACACGUUUAACGGCGUUGGUAUACGGCUGGUCCGUUUCCCCGAAAAUUACAUGACUGCGUACAUCUAUAAGCCCGAUCAUAAAUCGAGCAUGGUAACUGCAGAUGCCAUUAUCCGGGAGUCUGGAGAAGUUAAGAAAAGAAUCGGGGUCGUAGAGAAUUCCCGGUCUCAUUCUGCCUCCGCUGAUAGCGACGAUAUUCGUGAUUGUUAGGAAAUCUGCGAGGUUGAUACGGCAAUAGUAGAUUCGGGUUGGAGGGCAUCGGAUAAUUGCUGAUUUUAUUCGGUCUACUGUAAUUUCUACGACCAUUUUGACGAUUCUGUUGCGACUCGGCCUGUUCUAAUUUCGUUGUCAAACUAUUAAUUUUAUUUGUCAGAUUUUGAAUUGGAAUUUCGAGCAUUUUGUUUUUAAUAACUUGAUUAGUCGUCGGUUGAUUCAUAUCGUUUGCAGGUUCCACCGAUGACAAUUUGAUCAGCACGUUUUGCUACAUUUUCGAUGAAAUCAUUCAAAUUGUUUGAUAAAAUUGUCCGAACAUAUGGUGACAGUUUUUCAAUGAAUGUUCUUUUAAGAAUUAAUAAUUGGAUCUUCGGUAUUACCAAAUAAAAAUUUCAUUUUUUAAGUAAUUCCGUUGUUUUUUUGUCUCCUAAAUUGCUGUUAAAAUGCAUUCAAUCUGUUCUUGGGAAGGUGUGAACGUAUCCAGAAGAGCUUCUUUCAAUUGUGUGUAUGGCCUUUCUGGAUCUGCAUUACAAAUGUCUAAAGAAACCUGUUGUGUUUGUUCGUCACUUAGCGCUGUCAUAACCUCAUCGCAACGUUCUUUUUUUUCAUUUUUGUCCAGAAUGCUUUCGACCCGUUUACCCCACGUGUCGAAAGAAUGUUCCCAAAAACUAGGAAGUCGAAUGGUUGUUUGAUGCCAGUGAUUACGAACGGUGUUUGAAACAUAUGGGCUGGAGCGUAUGGCUGAGAAUGCUGAUCGUUCGAAUUUUGCCUGUGAAGAAUUCUUUCAGUGUUCAUGUGUAGGUAAAACUGUUUCAGGAACGGCAUUGGUUUCCACAGGAUUAACGCAGGGCGAUGAAUAUACCUGGGGAACCAUUUCCGGACGAUUAUUAUCUGUUGUUCCUUUAACGCGUUGAGACGUUUGCGGUUGUUCAGGAACUAACGCAUUUCUCGCAGUAUUAUUUUUAAUGUCGUUUGGAAUGGGAUACGGGUAAUUAUUAUCGAAUAUUUCAUCGAAUGGACUGGGUUCUAGAUAAAACGGGCUCUGAAAUUGUUUUGCUAGCAAUAUAUCUAUUGCGUCCAUCUCGGGGGUUGAUAAAAUGCACUUGUGGCAAUUCUGGUUCACGUAACAAAAAUCUAUUACGUUGCCUUUUUGAAGGAGUGAGAAUAUUAAAAGAAAAUUUGUUCAUAUUUAUGGCUAAUAGUUAAUAAUAUAUACAAAUAAAAAUAAACGAAAGGGUCAAAGAAAAAUAAUGAUUGAAUUAGACGUACCGGUUAUUGAACAGUUCUAUACGCAUAUAUAUAUAUUCUUCUUGCUGUUGUCUUUGUAUUAUUCGUAUCCAAAAAUUACUGCUUCUUUAAUUAAUGUUCUUAGGCUGUUACUUGGAUCUGUUUAAUUCUUUUCAGAAACAAUUGAUGAUAACGCUCAAUUUCUUUUUUUUUUAUCUAUUACCGAAUAAUCUUGUUCGCUAUUUAAGUAGUUACUCCAUUCAAAAAUUGUCAAUCAAUAUCAUGCGAUCUAACUCCAAUCCGAUAGCGGUUCAUUUUGUCUGGGGUCACCAAAUGCAGGGACCGUACUGGGGUCCUAAUAAUAUACUUCCUUCCUUUCUUUAUAAACGUCGUAGUACGGUGUAUAUACUUCUUUAGCUCUUUGUGUACAGUAUCACAGUUUUAAGUUCUUGAGAUAUUUAUUAAUAGUAGUCUCAUACAAAUCACACACAAAAUAAACAAUGUCUUCUCUCAUUCCUUUCUUUCUUCUAGUUCAUCGGCUUAUAUAUUCGACAGAACAGAUGGUGCGUCAUAAGUGUCAAAUCGUUAACACUCUUGAUGUUGUCGCAUCAUCUGUUCAGUCAGUAUAAUUAGGGUUGACACCACAGGCUUUGAAAUGGCUUUUUUUAUCGAUCUAAUUUAUGAAUUCAGAGAAUUUCGUCAGUACUGAUAAUCAGCCUUUUCUAUGCAUUAAAAAUGUUCGUCCAAAUUACUAAUCUUUCCCUAUGAAAUACUCCCUUCUUUUGGAAUGGAAUUCCGGGUUUUGAGACAUAAUUAUCGUGCCUAUACGUCCUAAAAAAUUCACUAUAAAACAUUAAAAAA
Styela clava is the source of this 5036-nucleotide non-coding RNA. The record is from RefSeq and is a predicted model, not a curated record. NCBI's taxonomy places the organism in Eukaryota, Metazoa, Chordata, Ascidiacea, Stolidobranchia, Styelidae.